UACGUAGGGGGCAAGCGUUGUCCGGAAUCAUUGGGCGUAAAGCGCGUGUAGGCGGCUCGGUAAGUCUGCUGUGAAAGUCCAGGGCUCAACCCUGGGAUGCCGGUGGAUACUGUCGAGCUCGAGUCCGGAAGAGGCGAGUGGAAUUCCUGGUGUAGCGGUGAAAUGCGUAGAUAUCAGGAGGAAUACCGAUGGCGAAGGCAGGUCUCUGGGCUGACACUGACGCUCAUGCACGAAAGCGUGGGGAGCAAACAGG
RNAcentral lists this ribosomal RNA (253 nucleotides) under uncultured bacterium. RNAcentral's name for it is "partial 16S ribosomal RNA". It matches the Rfam family "Bacterial small subunit ribosomal RNA", at positions 524 to 776 of the family's 1533-position model. The record is from RNAcentral.